This 433-nucleotide ribosomal RNA is filed under the name uncultured bacterium. RNAcentral describes it as "partial 16S ribosomal RNA". It matches the Rfam family "Bacterial small subunit ribosomal RNA", at positions 29 to 507 of the family's 1533-position model. The record is from RNAcentral.
AACGAACGCUGGCGGCAUGCCUAACACAUGCAAGUCGAACGAGACCUUCGGGUCUAGUGGCGCACGGGUGCGUAACGCGUGGGAACCUGCCCUUAGGUUCGGAAUAACUCCCCGAAAGGGGUGCUAAUACCGGAUAAUGUCUUCGGACCAAGGAUUUAUCGCCUUUGGAUGGGCCCGCGUUGGAUUAGCUAGUUGGUAGGGUAAAAGCCUACCAAGGCGACGAUCCAUAGCUGGUCUGAGAGGAUGAUCAGCCAGACUGGGACUGAGACACGGCCCAGACUCCUACGGGAGGCAGCGGUGGGGAAUAUAGGACAAUGGGCGAAAGCCUGAUCCAGCAAUGCCGCGUGAGUGAUGAAGGCCUUAGGGUUGUAAAGCUCUUUUACCCGGGAUGAUAAUGACAGUACCGGGAGAAUAAGCUCCGGCUAACUCCGUG